UAGAAGGAGGGAUGACUUGAUACCAAUAUCUCAGUGGCAGGACCCACUCGGGAGAGUUGGGGCGAGGCUGGCUGAGGUUCUCGAGGAGCUGAGUUUUGGGCUCAGGUGCCCGCCCGGCAGUGGAAUGAUGCUUCCCGACCUUUCAGACCUUUGAGACCUCUGCGCACUCUUAGAAAGCCCUUCAAGCCUCCCGUCGGCACCCGGCUGCCCAGGGGAACCCCAGGGACAGGAGUCAGAGAGAUCGUGGCCUGAGAGGUGAUGGAUAUCCGGAGGCACUCAAGACAGCAUCUCAAAGAUUCCACGCCACUAGCUGCUCCCAAGCAUGAAGCCACCUUCCUGGAGAGGCGGCAGGAAGCCAGCCUGGAGGAGGUUCUACUUUUUAUCUGGAGGAUGGACCGUCUUCUCAGGUGUCCUGGAUCUGCUGAAGGACAAUGAGGAGGAGGAGGAUGCGGGUCCCCAAGACAGAGCACAGCAGGUGGAACGGAGAAGCACCCAGAGGGGGGCGCAAGCCCAGCACCCUUCAGACUGGAGCACCCUGAGCUGCGGUUCCUGAUUGGACUGUCUUUGCUUUGUCAUCACCCAACUGACACCCGUUCUGGAUGCUUUUGAAUGGUUGGCUUCUUUUCCCCCCUGUCUUUUCUU
Eubalaena glacialis (North Atlantic right whale) is the source of this 642-nucleotide long non-coding RNA. RefSeq lists it as uncharacterized. The transcript is spliced from 4 exons. Lineage: Eukaryota; Metazoa; Chordata; Mammalia; Artiodactyla; Balaenidae. The record is from RefSeq and is a predicted model, not a curated record.